GUUUCAGCCGCCGCGGUAAUACAGAGGGUGCAAGCGUUGUCCGGAUUUAUUGGGCGUAAAGCGUUUCGUAGGCGCUAUGUAAAGUCGUGCUUUAAAUACCAGAGCUCAACUUUGGAAAGGGGCAUGAUACUUAUAUGGUUGAAAGGUUUCGGAGCUUCCGGAACUCUCGGUGUAGGGGUGAAAUCCGUUGAUAUCGAGAGGAACACCAAGGGCGAAGGCAGGAAGCUAGAAACUCUUUGACGCUGAGGAACGACAGCUAGGGUAGCGAAAGGGAUUAGAAACCCGCGUAGUCC
Molecule: ribosomal RNA, 293 nt
Filed under: uncultured bacterium
Lineage: Bacteria
Description: partial 16S ribosomal RNA
Rfam family: Bacterial small subunit ribosomal RNA
Source: RNAcentral